AUACGCGAAGACCUUACCUAGCCUUGACAUUGAUUGAAUACUUUAGAGAUAGAGUAGUGCCCUUCGGGGAACAUGAAAACAGGUGCUGCACGGCUGUCGUCAGCUCGUGUCGUGAGAUGUUGGGUUAAGUCCCGCAACGAGCGCAACCCUCGUCCUUAGUUACCAGCAGGUUAAGCUGGGCACUUUAAGGAGACUGCCUUCGCAAGGAGGAGGAAGGUGAGGACGACGUCAAGUCAUCAUGGCCCUUAUGGCUAGGGCUACACACGUGCUACAAUGGGGCGUACAGAGAGUUGCGAUACCGCGAGGUGGAGCCAAUCUCAUAAAGCGUCUCUCAGUUCGGAUUGAAGUCUGCAACUCGACUUCAUGAAGCUGGAAUCACUAGUAAUCGUAGAUCAGCAAUGCUACGGUGAAUACGUUCCCGGGUCUUGUACUCACCGCCCGUCU
This 444-nucleotide ribosomal RNA is filed under the name uncultured bacterium. RNAcentral describes it as "bacterial SSU rRNA". It matches the Rfam family "Bacterial small subunit ribosomal RNA", at positions 957 to 1399 of the family's 1533-position model. The record is from RNAcentral.